Oncorhynchus tshawytscha (Chinook salmon) is the source of this 765-nucleotide long non-coding RNA. The record is from Ensembl. Lineage: Eukaryota; Metazoa; Chordata; Actinopteri; Salmoniformes; Salmonidae.
CUGGAGAGGAGAAGAUAGGACCAGAGGAGAGGAGAAGAGAGGGCUGGAGAGGGGAAGAUAGGACCAGAGGAGAGGAGAAGAGAGUGCUGGAGAGGAGAAGAUGGGACCAGAGGAGAGGAUAAAAGAGGGCUGGAGAGGAGAAGAUAGGACCAGAGGAGAGGAGAAGAGAGGGCUGGAGAGGAGAAGAUAGGACGAGAGGAGAAGAGAGGGCUGGAGAGGAGAAGAUAGGACCAGACGAGAGGAGAAGAAAGGGCUGGAGAGGAGAAGAUAGGACCAGAGGAGAGGUGAAGAGAGGGCUGGAGAGGGGAAGAUAGGACCAGAGGAGAGGAGAAGAGAGGGCUGGAGAGGAGAAGAUGGGACCAGAGGAGAGGAUAAAAGAGGGCUGGAGAGGAGAAGAUAGGACCAGAGGAGAGGAGAAGAGAGGGCUGGAGAGGAGAAGAUAGGACGAGAGGAGAAGAGAGGGCUGGAGAGGAGAAGAUAGGACCAGACGAGAGGAGAAGAGAGGCCUGGAGAGGAGAAGAUAGGACCAGAGGAGAGGAGAAGAGAGGGCUGGAGAGGAGAAGAUAGGAGGAGAGAGGGCUGGAGAGGAGAAGAUGGGACCAGAGGAGAGGAGAAGAGAGGGCCGGAGAGGAGAAGAUAGGGCCAGAGGAGAGGAGAAGAUAGGAGGAGAGAGGGCUGGAGAGGAGAAGAUAGGACCAGAGGAGAGGAGAAGAGGGGGCUGGAGAGGAGAAGAUAGGAGGAGAGGAGAGGAGAAGAGAGGGCUGG